AUUUGACCAAGAAUCAGGAGCUUUGAAGGCACAAGGCAGUUCACUGGUCUCAAGUCAAAGUUGUCAGUAUUGCGAGUGCAUACCUACAUCAAUUGAAGGUCUUCCAACCAAGAGCGCGCCAGCUGUGACCAGCCAGCUGAUGCAGAGGGCACAUCAGGAGAAGCCGUCCUGGCUCAUCACACAACGGCCGUGCCGUCCGCUGCCGGUUCCGUGUUGGAACCCGGAGCGCUGGUGUGGCCUCCGCUCGCAUCUCUGAACCUCUCCAGCCGCAUCCAGUCACCGGGACCGCGGCCGCCCAUGAGGACGUCAUUAGAGAGCAGAAGGAGCUGCGCGCACGGCUGCAGCAGUUCAUGGGCGGCGGCGCUGUGGACUCUGCCGAGCACGAGAAGCUGCCGCCCCGACCGAGCUGAGCGGUCCGCUCGCCCUGGCCGAGGUGGCGAGCUAGCAGGCCGCCCAGCGGAUACUGUCGCUGAUCGAGCAGAUCGGCGCCAGCGAGUACGUGGACGGACACGCGGCUCCGCUGCACGUGUGCCAGCACUGCGGCGCCCGCGGCAAGCGCGUCCCAUAAUAGUUGGACCAGACUGUGCAAAACCGCCUAUAUUAAACCGUUUCAGUGUCUGACACUGUGUGAUGGGGCCGACUGCGUCCCCGACUGGGCGAGUGAACGAUUCGCCUCCGCAGCGGGGCAUAUACUGCUCAGAAUGGUUGGCGAGUCGUCUUCAGCGAGUUUCGAGGAAAUUAUUAGCGUGUUGCCAUGUUGGGGGCGGAUCGGCGUCUGUCUGGGUGGUUACGUUUGGAAUUGUUUCAUUGUUUAUUUUACAUCACAAUGCAUGAAUUUCUUGGUGAUAAACAUAUGCACGGUGUACUUCAUCAGCGACACCACGACGCACCUGAACGUGCGGUCAGCGGCCGGCUGCGUCCCUUUCCUACCCCACCCGCCAAAAUUUCUGAAAAUGUGUGCUUUGGUCCGGUCGGAAACAAUCCUUGCUUUUACAAAAUUUGUGAUUUAUUCAUAAUUCAUGGCCAGCAAUAGCAUAAUUACCUUAUCAUUAGUAGAAUAACAGCUGUUGGAAUUGCAUCGUAGCUAUCAGAGCGAUUCCGGUUAAACUUCAAACACUUGUCUCAAACGAUCUCAGAUGUGCGGACUAGCAAAUAAAGCAACGACACACCUU
This 1172-nucleotide long non-coding RNA is filed under the name Amphibalanus amphitrite. RNAcentral describes it as "uncharacterized LOC122367852, transcript variant X2". The record is from RNAcentral. Lineage: Eukaryota; Metazoa; Arthropoda; Thecostraca; Balanomorpha; Balanidae.